Neopsephotus bourkii (Bourke's parrot) is the source of this 822-nucleotide long non-coding RNA. RefSeq lists it as uncharacterized. The record is from RefSeq and is a predicted model, not a curated record. NCBI's taxonomy places the organism in Eukaryota, Metazoa, Chordata, Aves, Psittaciformes, Psittacidae. The transcript has 2 exons.
CUAACACCACAAGCCCCAACUGGUUUUCCUGGGAACUGCCAUACUGCAGUGCAGCAUCCUGGCACCAUGACCAUUGUGACGCUGCUGCUGGGGACAAGCUGGUGCCUUUGUCUUUCGUGGCUCAGUGAGCAAGCUGAAGACUUCAGGUACAGCCACCAGCAUCCUUCCUUUUGGAGCAGGUCAUCCCUGGUCACAAAGCCAGGCUGCUCCUUCCCAAGAGCAGUGUGUGGAAUAAAUGAGCACAAGCAGAGUGGUGCAUACGAAAGGGGGGCAGAGCCCAUCCUGAGCCUCUGUAAAGCCACUCUCUAUGCUGAGGGCCUCUGAGUCAGCUGUAACCUCCCAGGAAUCGGGUCCUUUUGUGACAAGUGAAUGAGGACCUCUGCUCAAGAGCCCAGCAGUGACUGGAAAGGUAUCAGCUGCUGCUGGAGACAGGACCUGGGCAAGACCAACCUUUUGGCUAGUCCACCCAUUCUCAUGCAAGGCAAAGUUCAUACCCUGAGGUGUAACACAACAUUGAAAACAGCAGGAUCUCAUGUGUCACCAUCACCGUAGGUCCCACAGGGUGACACCCAUCCUGCAUGGGCGGUCUGGGAGGCAAAGCUGCAGGGUGCUCAGCAUGCUUUUACCCAGGUCUCUGCCUUCAUUUCAUGGUGUUGCAGGUCAACAGAGCAAGUGAAGCCCAGGAACAAGCUGCUCACAUGGAUCCCUGUUCAUGCUCUGAUGCUGUGUUCAGGUGAAGUGGGGCAGCUUUGGGGAUGAACAACACCUCAGUGCGGUGUUACCUGGAAUUUUAAGAUGAGCUAAAUCAAGCUCCAUGGUCAA